Long non-coding RNA from Saccostrea echinata, 497 nucleotides. RefSeq lists it as uncharacterized. The transcript has 4 exons. NCBI's taxonomy places the organism in Eukaryota, Metazoa, Mollusca, Bivalvia, Ostreida, Ostreidae. The record is from RefSeq and is a predicted model, not a curated record.
UGACUUGGUGAAUGAUUAAAGAAAUUAAGAUAUAUAUUUAAGAUUUGUUGCGAUUUUGCAAUUUCUCUGAGUGGAUUUAAAAUAUGGAUCGUCGAAUCGUGUUCCUUUUGAUGAUCCCUGCUGUAUUUUCAUGGACCUUAGUGAGCUUUAUUGAAAGGACUAAAGAGAAUUUGUGGAAGAUGGUGAGUAUCCCUGACUCGAGGUGCCUCUCUGGAUAUUCCAUACGCAAUGUCACAUGUGGACCUGGAGAAAAACGCUGCCCCAUUAACCUCACGUGCAAUACCCACCCAGCAGGAGAAUACGCUAUAUGUUGUAGACAUCCGUAAAUGAGAUGAUAAGAAUUAACGCAAAACCAACGAUAUGCAGAUGUUGAGACUUUUAUUUAUAUACUGUAAAAUAACUUAAUUUAUUGAACAAACGUUGUAAAUUAAGCGACAGUAGACUAGCAUGUAUUUUUGAUUAUGUUGACAAUGCAGAAUGAACUUCCUUGACAUCUC